RNAcentral lists this ribosomal RNA (433 nucleotides) under uncultured bacterium. RNAcentral's name for it is "partial 16S ribosomal RNA". It matches the Rfam family "Bacterial small subunit ribosomal RNA", at positions 29 to 507 of the family's 1533-position model. The record is from RNAcentral.
AGCGAACGCUGGCGGCAGGCUUAACACAUGCAAGUCGAACGGGCACUUCGGUGCUAGUGGCAGACGGGUGAGUAACACGUGGGAACGUACCUUUCGGUUCGGAAUAAUCCAGGGAAACUUGGACUAAUACCGGAUACGCCCUUCGGGGGAAAGAUUCCUCGCCGAUAGAUCGGCCCGCGUCUGAUUAGCUAGUUGGUGAGGUAAUGGCUCACCAAGGCGACGAUCAGUAGCUGGUCUGAGAGGAUGAUCAGCCACAUUGGGACUGAGACACGGCCCAAACUCCUACGGGAGGCAGCAGUGGGGAAUAUUGGACAAUGGGCGCAAGCCUGAUCCAGCCAUGCCGCGUGAGUGAUGAAGGCCUUAGGGUUGUAAAGCUCUUUUGUCCGGGAAGAUAAUGACUGUACCGGAAGAAUAAGCCCCGGCUAACUUCGUG